This 458-nucleotide ribosomal RNA is filed under the name uncultured bacterium. RNAcentral's name for it is "bacterial SSU rRNA". It matches the Rfam family "Bacterial small subunit ribosomal RNA", at positions 96 to 564 of the family's 1533-position model. The record is from RNAcentral.
CGGCGGACGGGUGAGUAACGCGUGGGUAACCUACCCCAAAGUCCGGGAUAACAGCGGGAAACCGCUGCUAAUACCGGAUGCCUUUACCUUGGGGCAUCUUGAGGUAAAGAAAGGUAACGCUUUGGGAUGGGCCCGCGUCCCAUUAGCUAGUUGGUGAGGUAACGGCUCACCAAGGCGACGAUGGGUAGCCGGCCUGAGAGGGUGGACGGCCACACUGGGACUGAGACACGGCCCAGACUCCUACGGGAGGCAGCAGUAGGGAAUAUUGCGCAAUGGACGGAAGUCUGACGCAGCGACGCCGCGUGAGCGAUGAAGGUCUUCGGAUCGUAAAGCUCUGUCCUUGGGGAAGAAGGUCUUCGGACUUGACGGUACCCAAGAAGAAAGCCCCGGCUAACUACGUGCCAGCAGCCGCGGUAAUACGUAGGGGGCGAGCGUUGUCCGGAAUUACUGGGCGUAAA